This 194-nucleotide unclassified non-coding RNA is filed under the name uncultured fungus. RNAcentral's name for it is "partial contains 18S rRNA, ITS1 and 5.8S rRNA". The record is from RNAcentral. Lineage: Eukaryota; Fungi.
UGGUGAACCAGCGGAGGGAUCAUUACUGAGUACUACACUCUCUACCCUUUGUGAACUAUUAUACCUGUUGCUUCGGCGGCGCCCGCAAGGGUGCCCGCCGGUCUCAUCAGAAUCUCUGUUUUCGAACCCGACGAUACUUCUGAGUGUUCUUAGCGAACUGUCAAAACUUUUAACAACGGAUCUCUUGGCUCCAG